RNAcentral lists this transfer RNA (69 nucleotides) under Mammilla kurodai. RNAcentral describes it as "tRNA-Phe". It matches the Rfam family "tRNA". Rfam says of the family: Transfer RNA (tRNA) molecules are approximately 80 nucleotides in length. Their secondary structure includes four short double-helical elements and three loops (D, anti-codon, and T loops). Further hydrogen bonds mediate the characteristic L-shaped molecular structure. tRNAs have two regions of fundamental functional importance: the anti-codon, which is responsible for specific mRNA codon recognition, and the 3' end, to which the tRNAs corresponding amino acid is attached (by aminoacyl-tRNA synthetases). tRNAs cope with the degeneracy of the genetic code in two manners: having more than one tRNA (with a specific anti-codon) for a particular amino acid; and 'wobble' base-pairing, i.e. permitting non-standard base-pairing at the 3rd anti-codon position. Lineage: Eukaryota; Metazoa; Mollusca; Gastropoda; Littorinimorpha; Naticidae. The record is from RNAcentral.
AUUCUAGUAGCUCAUACCAUUAGAGUAUUGCACUGAAGAUGCAAAGGAAGCAGUUAUUGCUCUAGAAUA